UACAGAGGGUGCGAGCGUUAAUCGGAAUUACUGGGCGUAAAGCGUGCGUAGGCGGUUAUUUAAGUCGGGUGUGAAAGCCCCGGGCUCAACCUGGGAAUUGCAUUCGAGACUGAAUAGCUAGGGUACGGUAGAGGGAAGCGGAAUUUCCGGUGUAGCGGCGAAAUGCGUAGAUAUCGGAAGGAACAUCAGUGGCGAAAGCGGCUUCCUGGACCAGUACCGACGUUCAGGCACGAAAGCGUGGGGAGCAAACAGG
Molecule: ribosomal RNA, 253 nt
Filed under: uncultured bacterium
Lineage: Bacteria
Description: partial 16S ribosomal RNA
Rfam family: Bacterial small subunit ribosomal RNA
Source: RNAcentral